AGCCACGUUUUCCCCCUUUAAGCCCUUAGAGCCUCAAGCAUGAGACCCUCCAUUGAAAGCUUGACCUCGGAGAAAGACAGUGUAGGGAAUUUGGAGCCUUUGGUACAUGUAAGUAGAUUCAUUUUCCAUGCUUCUAUGCUUUGUGAUACAUUUUUUGGUUAGUUCAUUCAAGUAUGAAAUUCAAGAAAAAUUAUGUGUUUGUGAUUAUAAAUAUGAGCAUGAAUCUACAAAUAUGAACUAGUGAAUGGUUAUAAGAUAAUGAAUGCUUAUGAACUAGUGAAUGUUUAUGAGAUGAUGAAUGCUUAUGUAACACUAAGUGAGCAUGGUUGUUAUCAGAUAAGCCAUUGUUUAUGAAAUGAUGAAUGCUUAUGAACUAGUGAAUGUUUAUGAAAGGAUGAAUACUUAUAUAAGGUUGAAUGAGCAAGGUUGUGAUAAGUUCCAUGUGAUAAGAGCUAAGUGAUAUGUAAUUCAUUGGUAUACUUUGAGCAUAUUGCAUGACCGUAUUGUGCUCUGAUAAGAAUGCAUAAAAUUGAAAUAUGCUCUGAUGCUCUGUUAUGAAAUAAACACCUGCUCUGUUAUAAAAGGAACACUGGUUCUGUUAUAAAAUGAAUAUGUGACUUGUUAUGAACUGAAAGCCCUCUAUGAUAUGAUAAAAGUGUGCUAUGAUAAGUAAUGUGAUAUGAACCACUAUGCAAUGGAUCAUCCAUUGAUAGUGUGAUGUGCUUUGAUAUGAUAAGUAAUGUGAUAUGAAGCACUAUGCAAUGGGUCAUCCAUUGAUAGUGUGAUGUACUUUGAUAUGAUAAGUAAUGUGAUAUGAAGUACUAUGCAAUGGGUUAUCCAUUGAUAGUAUCACGUGCUUUGAUAUGAUAAGUAAAUGUGAUAUGAAGCACUAUGCAAUGGGUCAUCCCUUGAUAGUGUGAUAUGCUUUGAGAUGAUAGUAAUGUGAUACGAAGCACUAUGCAAUGGAUCAUCCAUUAGUAGUAUGAUGUGAUAUGAUAUGAUUGUGAUAAGUGCUAUGUGAUAAGAUCCGUGUGGUCAACUAUAUGAUCCCUUGGCAUGCUUUGCUCAACCAUGAUAUGAGUGCAUGAUUAUGUGAUGUGUGAGCAUGGACUUGCCUCAUGAUGUGAAGAGAAUGUGAUAUGUGAGCAUGGACUUGCCGCACGAUGAGAUGAGAAUGUAAUGUGUGAGCAUGGACUUCCUGCACGAUGAGAUGAGAAUGUGAUGUCUGAGCUUGGACUUGCCGCACGAUGAGAUGUGAAUGUGACAUGUGAGCAUGGACUUGCCGCACGAUGAUAUACAAUAUGUGACCAUGGACUUGCCACAUGAUCUUUCCCUGAUUCCCGAUGAUAGGAAGGGAGCUAGGAUGUGAUAUGGAUUUGGGAGGGUCGCCCCCUCCAAAGAUAUAUAUGGGUACUAUCCAUUGGGAUCCCUUUGGUAGUGUAGCGUCCUCUAGCGGAGAUGCAAAGAGAGGGCAGUAUCUUCCCAAGCCAAGAGCCUAUCAAAAGCCCCAAAGCGUGCUGGGGACUGUGUGCGUAUGUGAGAAGACAUUACAAAUACAAUUACUCAUUGUCAUUGUCUUUCCUCCUGAGUGAUGGUAGAAGUCCUAAGCAAUAGAAUUCGCUUGGCCUGAUGAAUAAGAUCUUUGCUUCAAGAAUAGGCAAAUUAGGGAGUGAGUUAGUUGUAAUGGUUGUUAUUCACCUUAAUAUGUUAAUUGCCAAGUUUUGUAUGGUUGAACGAUUUGAUUGACCCUUGCAUCAUAUCAUAUAUGAUUGAUCUGAUUUGUUAAUGUUUCACUAUGAAUCAUGCACGGCACACUAAUAAAUAUGAUUAUGGUACAUGACUUAUGUUUUAUAAAUACGGUAUAGAACCUUGUACAUUGUUGUAAAAUGAUAUUCAUAAACUGGAAAGCAUGAUAUCAUGAUCUACUUACUGCGCUUUAUAGAUCAUUCCAUUUACUUUCAUCUAUGUAGAGUAAUAGCUCGCAGGUCAAGGACAGAUGGCUGGGUGAUCGCGACUAGCUACUGAAGACCUGCACUUGAUGAGGAAAUUGUUUUGAUUGUAUGUUUUGGAUGGCGGUAGCCAUAUAGUUCAUGUUUAUUUGAAAGUCAUCUGAAUGUAUUGUUGUAGGGCCUUUAGUGUCAUGGACACAAUUGUAAUACUUGGAGCUUUUGUAUAUAGUUCGGUUUCAAUUGGUUCAGAUUUUGCUAUGAAUGUGAUUGGAGUGUUGUUUUAUUUUCGUGGUUUGCUUUGAUUACCUCUUUUCUAAGGCGCUGAGCGCGCACC
RNAcentral lists this long non-coding RNA (2283 nucleotides) under Amborella trichopoda. Its description in RNAcentral is "long non-coding RNA (ATRI_LNC000362)". Lineage: Eukaryota; Viridiplantae; Streptophyta; Magnoliopsida; Amborellales; Amborellaceae. The record is from RNAcentral.